AUUGAACGCUGGCGGCAGGCCUAACACAUGCAAGUCGAGCGGAUGAAGGGAGCUUGCUCCUGGAUUCAGCGGCGGACGGGUGAGUAAUGCCUAGGAAUCUGCCUGGUAGUGGGGGAUAACGUCCGGAAACGGGCGCUAAUACCGCAUACGUCCUGAGGGAGGAAGUGGGGGAUCUUCGGACCUCACGCUAUCAGAUGAGCCUAGGUCGGAUUAGCUAGUUGGUGGGGUAAAGGCCUACCAAGGCGACGAUCCGUAACUGGUCUGAGAGGAUGAUCAGUCGCACUGGAACUGAGACACGGUCCAGACUCCUACGGGAGGCAGCAGUGGGGAAUAUUGGACAAUGGGCGAAAGCCUGAUCCAGCCAUGCCGCGUGUGUGAAGAAGGUCUUCGGAUUGUAAAGCACUUUAAGUUGGGAGGAAGGGCAGUAAGUUAAUACCUUGCUGUUUUGACGUUACCAACAGAAUAAGCACCGGCUAACUUCGUG
RNAcentral lists this ribosomal RNA (484 nucleotides) under uncultured bacterium. Its description in RNAcentral is "partial 16S ribosomal RNA". It matches the Rfam family "Bacterial small subunit ribosomal RNA", at positions 30 to 507 of the family's 1533-position model. The record is from RNAcentral.